AUGCAUUGCAGAGCAAGAUUAAAUGCAGCUAAGGAAACGCAUUACCUCAGAGAAGAGAACAGUAAACUAAGUCAGGACCUGAGCUGUAUCGCAACAGAAAAUAACAAGAUUGCUGGGCAACUAGAGAUCCUGAGAUCACAAGAGAAAUGUCUCAAAGAAAAACUAUCUAAGAUGGAGACAGCCCGUGAUAAGAUGCUUUCCAAGCUAAGCAUUUUGAAGGAGGAACCACUGCAGGACUUAAAGAGGACUCCUCAAAAAUUAACAAGCUCAGAUGAUAACAUCUCCUCUGUAGAUCUUGGCAAGAAUGACAGCGAUGGUGGGAAAACAUCACCUUUAGCAACCAUAAGGAACACUGUGGAGGCUCCAACUAUAGAUUCUGCCACUGAAAGCAGCAUGGAACAGGAUUCUUUUGUCCGCUCCACGUUACACAUCCAGACCUAA
Anser brachyrhynchus (Pink-footed goose) is the source of this 441-nucleotide long non-coding RNA. The record is from Ensembl. Lineage: Eukaryota; Metazoa; Chordata; Aves; Anseriformes; Anatidae.